UAAUCUUUGGUAAAAAAAAGUUUUGGCAAUCUUGUGAGAGCUUUUUUCUGAUAUUGUAGGUAUCAUGUCAUUUCUUUCUUUCCAUUUGUGUUUUCUUUUCACCUUACUAAGAGAGAAAUUAUUCUUUGAAACUAAAGCCUACUUAGCUUUGCUCAAAAUACUCACAGAAAGUUAGUCACUGCUGUUGAUUUUUCUUGCAGUUAGUUAGUCACUGCUGAUUUUUUCCCCAAUGAUUUAGCAUCUCACUUAUUCAUUGUUAUCAAUGUAUCUUUGUCGCUUGCUGCAGAAAUCUUCUAAGUGAAGCCUGGGCCCCUAAAUUAGCAAACUAGCAAAGAACAUGAGCAACUUGAAGUCAUGCCUCUUCUAGAAAAAUCUAUGGAUACUGAAAGACUAGGACCUGGAAAUUAGUUUUUCAAAUCAAGAGAAGGUGGAAAAGGAGGCCAGAUUGUGGACAAAGUUGAAAUUGCAGUUCAAAUUACACACAACCAAACUGGUGUCACUAUUCACUGAACAAGUUAUUUUUCCUCUUUUCACACUUAUUUAAUAUGUGAACCCAUCUUCCAUGUUUCUGAGGCUUCUUUGGAACAUAAUAUAGUUGGAGACAAUUUAUAUUUUAUACGUUAGAAACAUAUUUUAGUCUCAUGUUAAGUAGAUCCAAGAUUCAAACUUAACUCACAAAGUGUUUCUUCUUUAGGAAUUAUUAUCCCCACUUAACUCUUCCUAGAAUCAGAACCUGAAAUACUCAUUUAAGAAAUCUUAAUCCUGAUAUUAGUAUACAAUUGAGAGGCAUUUAUUUCAUAGUUUCUUAAAUCCUCACAGAUUAACACUAUGGAUUUUACUGCGACAAAUUCACACCAAACUCAUGCAAAUGAGAAUUGAAGUGCAUGGUUAAAAUGCAUUAUGUUAAAGAUUCCCAUGGUAAUGAUUUUGAUGAUUGGUGUUGGCCUGAUCAUCCUCCUAACUUGACACUUUGAACCCAGAGAUUAGAUCCUGGUGGUAUGCUAUGUUUUAUUUUUGGAGUUCUGUUGGUUCCACUCCUCUUUCCAAAUGGAAUGUGCCUUUCGUCUUCAAUGGUCUUGAGGUCCAUGUCUCGAGUUGUUUGCUUUGGCAUCUGAAAUCUUUGUAUUUAGUCAGUUUUGGAGAACUCUAGAGGUACUUGCCUAAAGUUGGUUUGGUAUGGACUUUGCAGGCCAUUGCUUAGUGGUAAUAUCAUCUAUUAGGAUAUUAUCAUGAUUGUGUUGAUUUUUUAAAAAAUCAUAAAAUUGAGAACAACUUUCAUUCAGGUGCUAUUUGGUAUUGGUGAUUUAAAUUGUAACUCAGUCAUGAUUUUGACUUGGAGUCUUGGACAUACAAUUCCUAUAUACAGUGUGUUGCAAUCGUUUUCCUCUUCAAGUUUCGUACUUCGGAUGAUCUCACCGUCUGCGUUGGAGAAGGUUUGGUGGAAGGUGAAGACUGUGGGUUUCGGUUUGAUUUCGCCAGAGAUCGUCAUAUUUGGCAGGCUCUCUCACUAUAUAUUCUCUGAUGUUUGGGAGCAGUUGAUGAAAAUCGUAGUUGUUGCAAUUUCGACGAAGGAGAAGCCAGUUUCUUUGAUUACUCAUUCCAGUGAUUGUGAUUGAUGCAUGAUUUCGUGAUUGAAAUUUUUCGCCAAUGUUAAGCAUUUCAUAAGUGAGGUCAAUUUCGUGUCAGGUCACAAAGAGCUGGAUUAGGGUUAGGUUGUUCAAGGAGAUUGGGGAAGUACCUACCAUCUGUCGUCACAAUGAGAGCACGAUCAGAAAGGGGUGCUGUUUUUGGUAUUAUUUUGGAUGAUUAGUGAUGCAGAAUUUCGCCACCAUGUCAUGUACUUCUCCAAUCGAUUUUCGUAGUGCUUGAAAUUUCAUCACAGAGGUGUAUAUCUUUUCAAAUAUAAUUCCACUAUUAUU
Molecule: long non-coding RNA, 1919 nt
Organism: Lotus japonicus
Lineage: Eukaryota; Viridiplantae; Streptophyta; Magnoliopsida; Fabales; Fabaceae
Exons: 4
Source: RefSeq, a predicted model, not a curated record